RNAcentral lists this long non-coding RNA (430 nucleotides) under Trifolium pratense (red clover). Its description in RNAcentral is "long non-coding RNA (TPRA_LNC001702)". Lineage: Eukaryota; Viridiplantae; Streptophyta; Magnoliopsida; Fabales; Fabaceae. The record is from RNAcentral.
GAUGAGUAUAUUGUCGUAUAUAGUUGAUUACUCCAAAAUAUAAUUAAUUAUUUUAGAUUAAUUACUUAACCACUUAAUUUUGCUCUAAUUCUAUUUGUCAGAAUCAUAUUGAAUCUCUGUUCAUCACUCUUAAAUUGAGUAGUUACACAUAAGUUCUAGUGAAGAACAAUCUUGGUGUUGUUUCUCUGAACAUCAGUUGAGUUGUGGGUGACCUGAUGUUGAAAUAGUAAUUUCCUAGCAGUGCACUAGAUUAUGCUCCAGAAUAUACAUUACUCAAAUUACAUAGGUGUUCAUUUAUGAUCAUGACAGAAAUACAGAAGAAAAAAAAAUCAAGGUUUCCACAACUUCAUUGUGCCGUCUUCACUAUAAGUUGCAACAAGAUUCCUAUGGGGAUGAUGAGUAACACCGAUAAUUUCCUUUUCAUGGACCU